This 484-nucleotide ribosomal RNA is filed under the name uncultured bacterium. RNAcentral's name for it is "partial 16S ribosomal RNA". It matches the Rfam family "Bacterial small subunit ribosomal RNA", at positions 899 to 1397 of the family's 1533-position model. The record is from RNAcentral.
ACUCAAAUGAAUUGACGGGGAGGCGCACAAGCAGUGGAGCGUGUGGUUUAAUUCGAUACAAAGCGAAAAACCUCACCAGGGUUUGACAUGUACUUGCUAAGCCUAAGAAACUAGGCCUCCUUCGAGGGUAGUACACAGAUGCUGCAUGGCUGUCGUCAGUUCGUGGCGUGAGCUGUCCCCUUAAGUGGGCAAACGAACGCAACCCGCACCGUAUGUUAAAUAUCUCAUGCGGUACAGCCGUCCUUUGGACGGAGGAAGACGCGGAUGAGGUCAAGUCAGCACGGCUCUUACACCCUGGGCUACACACACCCUACAAUGCCGAAAAACAACGAGUUGCAAGCUAGUAAUAGCAAGCUAAUCUCUGAAAUUUCGGCCCAGUUCAGAUUGAGGGCUGCAAUUCGCCCUCAUGAAGUCGGAAUUGCUAGUAAUCGCGGAUCAGCAGGCCGCGGUGAAUACGUUCUCGCCUCUUGUACACACCGCCCGU